GGCGGCGUAGCUCAGCUGGUUAGAGCAGCGGAAUCAUAAUCCGAAGGUCGAAGGUUCGAGUCCUUCCGCCGCUACCU
RNAcentral lists this transfer RNA (77 nucleotides) under Actinomycetes bacterium. RNAcentral's name for it is "Actinobacteria bacterium tRNA-Met". It matches the Rfam family "tRNA". Rfam says of the family: Transfer RNA (tRNA) molecules are approximately 80 nucleotides in length. Their secondary structure includes four short double-helical elements and three loops (D, anti-codon, and T loops). Further hydrogen bonds mediate the characteristic L-shaped molecular structure. tRNAs have two regions of fundamental functional importance: the anti-codon, which is responsible for specific mRNA codon recognition, and the 3' end, to which the tRNAs corresponding amino acid is attached (by aminoacyl-tRNA synthetases). tRNAs cope with the degeneracy of the genetic code in two manners: having more than one tRNA (with a specific anti-codon) for a particular amino acid; and 'wobble' base-pairing, i.e. permitting non-standard base-pairing at the 3rd anti-codon position. Lineage: Bacteria; Bacillati; Actinomycetota; Actinomycetes. The record is from RNAcentral.